Molecule: long non-coding RNA, 684 nt
Filed under: Lupinus angustifolius (narrow-leaved blue lupine)
Lineage: Eukaryota; Viridiplantae; Streptophyta; Magnoliopsida; Fabales; Fabaceae
Description: long non-coding RNA (LANG_LNC000911)
Source: RNAcentral
UACACUUUGCAAUGAUUCGUAGAUUUCGAUCUUUCUUAAGGUGGUUCCAAAACUGUUGUAUUUUCUUGAGACAAAUUCUUUCAUUUGUGGUGGUAAUGACAUUUUGAUCAAACUACGAUGAUAUUGGAAAGUUGUUUCUUUUGUGUUUCUUUUCCUCUUGUUAUUUUGGCGAUAGUGAGAAAGAAGAAACAAAUUGAUUUUUUUAUGCCUUUUCCGACCCUUCAACACUCACACAUCUCUCUUCCUUCUCUCGAUUUCCAAUCUUUGUAUUUUUUAGAAUGAUUAUUCUGCAAUGCCUGAAACAAUGGUUGAACAUAAAUUUGAACUCUUUCUUCCCUUAUUGACUGACCCUUUAUCAAUCUUGGUAUAAUUUUUGCAAGGUCUGAAUCGCUGGUUGAAUACAGAGAUAGAACUUGAUUUCGUUGUGCCCUUUCCGACCUUUUAUCAAUGACAUGUCUCUAUUGAGAAACUCUUGCUUCAGCUUUGGACGGUACCCACCAAUCCACCACAACCACCCAACUAAACUCCCUAGUUCCUGAACCCACAAUCUCAGUUCCAAAGUUACAAGGAAAGUGCAACAAACCAGACACUCAAAUCAAAUUAAAAGAUAGUAACUCAACACACAAACUCACACCACAUAAACCAGACAUAAACACACUCUGUUCUGUUUGCAGCCACUCCCAC